RNAcentral lists this long non-coding RNA (599 nucleotides) under Musa acuminata (dwarf banana). Its description in RNAcentral is "long non-coding RNA (MACU_LNC001275)". The record is from RNAcentral. Lineage: Eukaryota; Viridiplantae; Streptophyta; Magnoliopsida; Zingiberales; Musaceae.
AUCGGCCGAGCAGGUACUUGGCGUACUCGGGGUCGAUGGUCGGGUCGACGGUGGGGUAGAGUCGUCCCACGAGGUUGACACAGUGCACUCGGCCGACGGAGUGAGCUCCUGCGACGACCAAGAGGAACGACGUGAAGACAUCUCAAGGGACGAAGAUCAGCGAGGCCGUGAAGCUGUCGCACCUAAAAGAGCCACUGUUCGUUCUGCAUCGAUUCCUAUGGAUCUGAACCGAGAGAGCACGAGGGAGAUGGAGUCGUUGUGGUUGGGGAUGUCCUUGUCUAUCACGUCGGCGUGGCUUUCCUUGCUAUCUCGUCUGCCGGUCCUCAUCGGAAUGAAUGGUCCUCCCAGCUAUCGGCAUUGACCGGAGAAAGCAUCAGUAGUAGAAGAGAUCGACGACGGCGACCUCAGCAAAGCAUGCAGGAAAGAUAUUUAGGACGAAACAGGCGUACCAUGACGACACCUUCUCUUGCAGAGAGAGCGAUGAUAUCUGCACAGGAGACGGUGGCGGGGCAUUCCUUCUCGAGCGCCUCCUUGAUGGGGGCGACGUACUUAAAGUUCCUCAUCCCGAAGCUCCGGUCGGCCGACUGCUCCGAGAUCAA